UGUCGUUUGUUUAUGUGUUACAUAUUUGUUUUUCGUUCAUUAUUGGUUCAUUUAUCAGGCUGUUAGUUUUCUCUUUUGAAUUGAUUUACAUCGCCAUUUCGAGUUUUUUUUAUAGCUGACUGUGCGGUUUGGGCUUUGCUCAUUGUUGAAGGCUGUACUGUGACCUAUAGUUGUUACUUUAUGUGUCAUUUGGUCCCUUGAGGAGAGUUGUCUUAUUGGCAAUCAUACCACAUCUUCUUUUUUUUUAUAAACAAGGGUUAAACUUAAAGCCCCUCCGCUAUGGCAGGGGGCAUAAAAUAAGUUUAUGAGAUACAUUUGUACAUCUAGAAUAAUAUCAAGGUUAUAACAAAAUGCACCCAAAUUUCCUUUAGAAAAAGGGCAAUAAC
Molecule: long non-coding RNA, 386 nt
Filed under: Mytilus galloprovincialis (Mediterranean mussel)
Lineage: Eukaryota; Metazoa; Mollusca; Bivalvia; Mytilida; Mytilidae
Source: RNAcentral